RNAcentral lists this ribosomal RNA (468 nucleotides) under uncultured bacterium. RNAcentral's name for it is "partial 16S ribosomal RNA". It matches the Rfam family "Bacterial small subunit ribosomal RNA", at positions 28 to 507 of the family's 1533-position model. The record is from RNAcentral.
GAUGAACGCUGGCGGCGUGCUUAACACAUGCAAGUCGAACGGAAAGGCCGAAGCUUGCUUCGGUACUCGAGUGGCGAACGGGUGAGUAACACGUGGGUGAUCUGCCCUGUACUUCGGGAUAAGCUUGGGAAACUGGGUCUAAUACCGGAUAUGACGAUCUCUUGGAUGGGGUUGUGGAAAGCUUUUGCGGUAUGGGAUGAGCUCGCGGCCUAUCAGCUUGUUGGUGGGGUAAUGGCCUACCAAGGCGUCGACGGGUAGCCGGCCUGAGAGGGUGUACGGCCACAUUGGGACUGAGAUACGGCCCAGACUCCUACGGGAGGCAGCAAUGGGGAAUAUUGCACAAUGGGCGCAAGCCUGAUGCAGCGACGCCGCGUGGGGGAUGACGGCCUUCGGGUUGUAAACUCCUUUCGCAAUCGACGAAGCCUUUUGGUGACGGUAGGUUGAGAAGAAGCACCGGCUAACUACGUG